Non-coding RNA from Salmo salar (Atlantic salmon), 54 nucleotides. The record is from Rfam. Lineage: Eukaryota; Metazoa; Chordata; Actinopteri; Salmoniformes; Salmonidae.
AAUGCACCAGUUUGUAAGUCGUUCUGGAUAAGAGCGUCUGCUAAAUUACGUAAC